RNAcentral lists this ribosomal RNA (463 nucleotides) under uncultured bacterium. RNAcentral's name for it is "partial 16S rRNA". The record is from RNAcentral.
GCACGAGAUUAGCCGGCCCUUCCUCCUAGGAUCGGUCAAGUUCUGCUCUUCGCAGACCCUUCCUCCCCUACGACAGCGGUUUACAACCCGAAGGCCUUCAUCCCGCACGCGGUGUCGCUCGGUCAGGCUUGCGCCCAUUGCCGAAGAUUCUCGACUGCAGCCACCCGUAGGUGUCUGGGCAGUAUCUCAGUCCCAGUGAGUGGGGGCACGCUCUCACGCCCCAUACCCGUUUUUGCCUUGGUAGGCCGUUACCCCACCAACAAGCUGAUAGGCCACAGGCCCCUCCCCAGGUGGAAUCACACCUUUGGUCCGGAGACAUUAUCUGGUAUUACCGGCAGUUUCCCGCCGCUAUCCCAGACCCGGGGGUAGGUACCUAUGUAUUACUCUCCCUUUCGCCGCUCUCCAUGUAUUGCUACAUUUCGCGCACGACUUGCAUGCCUAAUCCACACCGCCAACGUUCAUU